GGUAAUUUUCCGCAAUGGGCGAAAGCCUGACGGAGCAAGACCGCGUGGGGGAAGAAGGCUCUUGGGUUGUAAACCCCUUUUCUCUGGGAAGAACGCAAUGACGGUACCAGAGGAAUCAGCAUCGGCUAACUCCGUGCCAGCAGCCGCGGUAAGACGGAGGAUGCAAGCGUUAUCCGGAAUGAUUGGGCGUAAAGCGUCCGCAGGUGGCAGUUCAAGUCUGCUGUCAAAGACCGGGGCUUAACCUCGGAAAGGCAGUGGAAACUGAACAGCUAGAGUAUGGUAGGGGCAAAGGGAAUUCCUGGUGUAGCGGUGAAAUGCGUAGAGAUCAGGAAGAACAUCGGUGGCGAAGGCGCUUUGCUGGACCAUAACUGACACUCAGGGACGAAAGCUAGGGGAGCGAAUGGGAUUAGAUACCCCAGUAGUCCUAGCCGUAAACGAUGGAUACUAGGUGUUGUCUGUAUCGACCCGGACAGUGCCGUAGCUAACGCGUUAAGUAUCCC
Molecule: ribosomal RNA, 500 nt
Filed under: uncultured cyanobacterium
Lineage: Bacteria; Bacillati; Cyanobacteriota
Description: bacterial SSU rRNA
Rfam family: Bacterial small subunit ribosomal RNA
Source: RNAcentral